This 486-nucleotide ribosomal RNA is filed under the name uncultured bacterium. RNAcentral describes it as "partial 16S ribosomal RNA". It matches the Rfam family "Bacterial small subunit ribosomal RNA", at positions 30 to 507 of the family's 1533-position model. The record is from RNAcentral.
AUUGAACGCUGGCGGCAUGCCUUACACAUGCAAGUCGAACGGCAGCACGGGUGCUUGCACCUGGUGGCGAGUGGCGAACGGGUGAGUAAUACAUCGGAACAUGUCCUGUAGUGGGGGAUAGCCCGGCGAAAGCCGGAUUAAUACCGCAUACGAUCUACGGAUGAAAGCGGGGGACCUUCGGGCCUCGCGCUAUAGGGUUGGCCGAUGGCUGAUUAGCUAGUCGGUGGGGUAAAGGCCUACCAAGGCGACGAUCAGUAGCUGGUCUGAGAGGACGACCAGCCACACUGGGACUGAGACACGGCCCAGACUCCUACGGGAGGCAGCAGUGGGGAAUUUUGGACAAUGGGCGAAAGCCUGAUCCAGCAAUGCCGCGUGUGUGAAGAAGGCCUUCGGGUUGUAAAGCACUUUUGUCCGGAAAGAAAUCCUUGGCUCUAAUACAGUCGGGGGAUGACGGUACCGGAAGAAUAAGCACCGGCUAACUACGUG